RNAcentral lists this ribosomal RNA (465 nucleotides) under uncultured Klebsiella sp. Its description in RNAcentral is "bacterial SSU rRNA". It matches the Rfam family "Bacterial small subunit ribosomal RNA", at positions 338 to 795 of the family's 1533-position model. The record is from RNAcentral. Lineage: Bacteria; Pseudomonadati; Pseudomonadota; Gammaproteobacteria; Enterobacterales; Enterobacteriaceae.
CCUACGGGGGGCAGCAGUGGGGAAUAUUGCACAAUGGGCGCAAGCCUGAUGCAGCCAUGCCGCGUGUGUGAAGAAGGCCUUCGGGUUGUAAAGCACUUUCAGCGGGGAGGAAGGCGGUGAGGUUAAUAACCUCAUCGAUUGACGUUACCCGCAGAAGAAGCACCGGCUAACUCCGUGCCAGCAGCCGCGGUAAUACGGAGGGUGCGAGCGUUAAUCGGAAUUACUGGGCGUAAAGCGCACGCAGGCGGUCUGUCAAGUCGGAUGUGAAAUCCCCGGGCUCAACCUGGGAACUGCAUUCGAAACUGGCAGGCUAGAGUCUUGUAGAGGGGGGUAGAAUUCCAGGUGUAGCGGGGAAAUGCGUAGAGAUCUGGAGGAAUACCGGUGGCGAAGGCGGCCCCCUGGACAAAGACUGACGCUCAGGUGCGAAAGCGUGGGGAGCAAACAGGAUUAGAUACCCUAGUAGUC